UGGAUGACAAGGAGCCGAAGAGGUGGC
RNAcentral lists this non-coding RNA (27 nucleotides) under Homo sapiens (human). The record is from RNAcentral. Lineage: Eukaryota; Metazoa; Chordata; Mammalia; Primates; Hominidae.